RNAcentral lists this ribosomal RNA (427 nucleotides) under Clostridioides difficile. RNAcentral describes it as "partial 23S ribosomal RNA". It matches the Rfam family "Bacterial large subunit ribosomal RNA", at positions 2498 to 2925 of the family's 2925-position model. Lineage: Bacteria; Bacillati; Bacillota; Clostridia; Peptostreptococcales; Peptostreptococcaceae. The record is from RNAcentral.
GUCCACAUCGACGGGGAGGUUUGGCACCUCGAUGUCGGCUCAUCACAUCCUGGGGCUGUAGUAGGUCCCAAGGGUUGGGCUGUUCGCCCAUUAAAGUGGUACGCGAGCUGGGUUCAGAACGUCGUGAGACAGUUCGGUCCCUAUCCGUCGCAGGCGUAGGAAAUUUGAGAAGACCUGUCCUUAGUACGAGAGGACCGGGAUGGACGUACCUCUGGUGUACCAGUUGUUCUGCCAAGGGCAUGGCUGGGUAGCUAUGUACGGAAUGGAUAAGCGCUGAAAGCAUCUAAGCGCGAAGCCAACUUCAAGAUAAGAUUUCCCACCGCAAGGGUAAGACCCCAGAAAGACUAUCUGGUUGAUAGGUCGAAGGUGUAAGUGCAGCAAUGUAUUUAGCUUAUCGAUACUAAUAGGUCGAGGACUUGACCAAAUU